RNAcentral lists this transfer RNA (73 nucleotides) under Ixodes scapularis (black-legged tick). Its description in RNAcentral is "tRNA-Val". It matches the Rfam family "tRNA". Rfam says of the family: Transfer RNA (tRNA) molecules are approximately 80 nucleotides in length. Their secondary structure includes four short double-helical elements and three loops (D, anti-codon, and T loops). Further hydrogen bonds mediate the characteristic L-shaped molecular structure. tRNAs have two regions of fundamental functional importance: the anti-codon, which is responsible for specific mRNA codon recognition, and the 3' end, to which the tRNAs corresponding amino acid is attached (by aminoacyl-tRNA synthetases). tRNAs cope with the degeneracy of the genetic code in two manners: having more than one tRNA (with a specific anti-codon) for a particular amino acid; and 'wobble' base-pairing, i.e. permitting non-standard base-pairing at the 3rd anti-codon position. Lineage: Eukaryota; Metazoa; Arthropoda; Arachnida; Ixodida; Ixodidae. The record is from RNAcentral.
GUGUUUGUUGUGUAGUGGUUAUCACAUCCGCCUAACACGCGGAAGGUCCCAGGUUCGAUCCCUGGCAGGCACA